Molecule: ribosomal RNA, 484 nt
Filed under: uncultured bacterium
Lineage: Bacteria
Description: partial 16S ribosomal RNA
Rfam family: Bacterial small subunit ribosomal RNA
Source: RNAcentral
AGUGAACGCUGGCGCCGUGCUUAACACAUGCAAGUCGAACGAGAACGGAUUAUAGCUUGCUAUAAUUGUCAGCUAAGUGGCGCACGGGUGAGUAAUGUAUAGGUAAUAUGCCUCUUACUAAGGGAUAACAAAUGGAAACGUUUGCUAAUACCUUAUACUCCUUAUUAACAGAAGUUAAUAAGGGAAAGAUUUAUUGGUAAGAGAUUAGCCUGUAUUGUAUCAGUUAGUUGGUGGGGUAAUGGCUUACCAAGACUAUGACACAUAACUGGUUUGAGAGGAUGAUCAGACACACUGGAACUGAGACACGGUCCAGACUCCUACGAGAGGCAGCAGUGGGGAAUAUUGCACAAUGGACGAAAGUCUGAUGCAGCAACGCCGCGUGGAGGAUGACACAUUUCGGUGCGUAAACUCCUUUUAUAUGAGAAGAUAAUGACGGUAUUAUAUGAAUAAGCACCGGCUAACUCCGUGCCAGCCGCCGCAGUAA